GGGGGCGUGGCGGAAUUGGCAGACGCAGGAGACUUAAAAUCUUCCGGCUCCGGUCGUGCGGGUUCGAGUCCCGCCGCCCCUA
This 82-nucleotide transfer RNA is filed under the name Coriobacteriaceae bacterium CHKCI002. It matches the Rfam family "tRNA". From Rfam's summary of the family: Transfer RNA (tRNA) molecules are approximately 80 nucleotides in length. Their secondary structure includes four short double-helical elements and three loops (D, anti-codon, and T loops). Further hydrogen bonds mediate the characteristic L-shaped molecular structure. tRNAs have two regions of fundamental functional importance: the anti-codon, which is responsible for specific mRNA codon recognition, and the 3' end, to which the tRNAs corresponding amino acid is attached (by aminoacyl-tRNA synthetases). tRNAs cope with the degeneracy of the genetic code in two manners: having more than one tRNA (with a specific anti-codon) for a particular amino acid; and 'wobble' base-pairing, i.e. permitting non-standard base-pairing at the 3rd anti-codon position. Lineage: Bacteria; Bacillati; Actinomycetota; Coriobacteriia; Coriobacteriales; Coriobacteriaceae. The record is from Rfam by way of RNAcentral.